Unclassified non-coding RNA from Macaca fascicularis (crab-eating macaque), 117 nucleotides. It matches the Rfam family "Metazoan signal recognition particle RNA". From Rfam's summary of the family: The signal recognition particle (SRP) is a universally conserved ribonucleoprotein. It is involved in the co-translational targeting of proteins to membranes. The eukaryotic SRP consists of a 300-nucleotide 7S RNA and six proteins: SRPs 72, 68, 54, 19, 14, and 9. The record is from Ensembl. Lineage: Eukaryota; Metazoa; Chordata; Mammalia; Primates; Cercopithecidae.
GCUGGGCAUGGUGACUCAUGCCUGUAAUCUCAGCACUUUGGGAGGCUGAGGUGGGAGGAUCACUUGAGCCCAGGAGUUCAAGACCAGCCUGGGCAACAAAGUGAGACCUCGUCUCUA